RNAcentral lists this ribosomal RNA (491 nucleotides) under uncultured bacterium. RNAcentral's name for it is "partial 16S ribosomal RNA". It matches the Rfam family "Bacterial small subunit ribosomal RNA", at positions 29 to 507 of the family's 1533-position model. The record is from RNAcentral.
AGUGAACGCUGGCGGUAGGCCUACACAUGCCAGUCGAACGGCAGCACAGUAAGAGCUUGCUCUUACGGGUGGCGAGUGGCGGACGGGUGAGGAAUACAUCGGAAUCUACUUUUUCGUGGGGGAUAACGUAGGGAGACUUACGCUAAUACCGCAUACGACCUACGGGUGAAAGCAGGGGAUCUUCGGACCUUGCGCGAUUGAAUGAGCCGAUGUCGGAUUAGCUAGUUGGCGGGGUAAAGGCCCACCAAGGCGACGAUCCGUAGCUGGUCUGAGAGGAUGAUCAGCCACACUGGAACUGAGACACGGUCCAGACUCCUACGGGAGGCAGCAGUGGGGAAUAUUGGACAAUGGGCGCAAGCCUGAUCCAGCCAUACCGCGUGGGUGAAGAAGGCCUUCGGGUUGUAAAGCCCUUUUGUUGGGAAAGAAAAGCAGCAGGUUAAUACCCCGCUGUUCUGACGGUACCCAAAGAAUAAGCACCGGCUAACUUCGUG